Molecule: ribosomal RNA, 386 nt
Filed under: uncultured marine eukaryote
Lineage: Eukaryota
Description: SSU rRNA
Rfam family: Eukaryotic small subunit ribosomal RNA
Source: RNAcentral
UGUUAAAAAGCUCGUAGUUGGAUCUCAACAGCCUUGAAGCGGUUAACUUUGUAGUUUUACUGCUUUAUAGGCUGUGCUUUUGCUGGAGGUUUAGGGGUGCUCUUGAUCGAGUGUCUCUGGAUGCCAGCAGGUUUACUUUGAAAAAAUUAGAGUGCUCAAAGCAGGCUAAAAUGCCUGAAUAUUCGUGCAUGGAAUAAUAGAAUAGGAUGUCGAUCCUAUUUUGUUGGUUUUCGGGACUCGACAUAAUGAUAAAUAGGGACAGUCGGGGGCAUUUGUAUUCAAACGACAGAGGUGAAAUUCUUGGACCGUUUGGAGACAAACUACUGCGAAAGCAUUUGCCAAGAAUGUUUUCAUUAAUCAAGAACGAAAGUUAGAGGUUCGAAGGC